GUAUAUACAUACAGGAACAUUACUCAGCUAUAAAAAGGAAUGAAAUAAUGCCAUCUGCAGCAACAUGGAUGGACCUAGAGAUUAUCAUACUAAGUGAAGUAAGUCAGACAGAGAAAGACAAAUAUCAUAUGAUAUCACUUAUAUGUGGAAUCUAAAAAAUGAUACAAAUGAACUUAUUUACUAAAGAUAAACAGACUCACAGACUUAGAAAACAAACUUAUGGUUACCAAAGGGGAAAGGUGGAGGGAGGGAUAAAUUAGGAGGUGGGGAUUAACAUGUACACACUGUAUAUAAAAUAGAUAAUCGACAAGGACCUACCACAUAGCACAGGGAACUCUACUCAAUACUCUGUAAUAACCUAUAUGGGAAAAGAAUGUGAAAAAGAAUAGAUAUAUGUAUAACUAAAUCACUUUGCUAUACACCUGAAACUAGCAUAGCAUUGUUAAUCACGCCCUAUACUCCAAUAUAAAAUAAUAAUUAAAAAAAGAGAAACACUGGCUUAUACUUUAACAAAAGAGGGGGAAAAAAAAAACCCACAGAUAAUAAACCAAGGUAGAAUGUUAUGGCUACCAUAGUCCUCUAUUCUUGAAUUUUCUAGCUCUUUUUAAACUAGACCUAUAUUACCUACCUGGCUCUUGAAAUAAUUUAUUUCACCUUGCUGUCAAUAUAAUCAAAAUGAGUAAUUCACUUAGCAAGCAUGAAAAGGCCUCAAGCAACACCAGGAUGAUGUUUUAAACUGAUCUGAUGAGUUUUUCUUCAGUCAUUUUCUAAAUAAGUGGUGUGAAUUAAAACUGGUUUUAUUUCCCUGGUAUAAACAGCCUAUAAAGAGAACUCAUAUAAUAUACAACUCUCUUGGAAAGGCAUCCCACACAAUCAAAUCAGUAAUAGAAAGCUAUGAAAUUUGGUUCCCUGUCUCUCAACAACAGGGUAAAAAAACUAGAAAUCCUACACUGGUGCUGAGGGUCAGGAUACAAAACAUGACAUUCAAAAACAAACAAAAGGGGCUUCCCUGGUAUUCUUUACAUAAAACUAAAAUUAUAUAUAUCACAUACUUCAUUGAGGCAGAGGAUGAACUAGACUACAUAGCAUUUUAUAUUUAUA
RNAcentral lists this long non-coding RNA (1101 nucleotides) under Monodon monoceros (narwhal). RNAcentral's name for it is "lncRNA (ENSMMNG00015006819.1)". The record is from RNAcentral. Lineage: Eukaryota; Metazoa; Chordata; Mammalia; Artiodactyla; Monodontidae.